Molecule: ribosomal RNA, 614 nt
Filed under: Melanops tulasnei
Lineage: Eukaryota; Fungi; Ascomycota; Dothideomycetes; Botryosphaeriales; Melanopsaceae
Description: eukaryotic LSU rRNA
Rfam family: Eukaryotic large subunit ribosomal RNA
Source: RNAcentral
GCAUAUCAAUAAGCGGAGGAAAAGAAACCAACAGGGAUUGCCUUAGUAACGGCGAGUGAAGCGGCAACAGCUCAAAUUUGAAAUCUGGCCCCCUCGGGGUCCGAGUUGUAAUUUGUAGAGGAUGCUUCGGCGAGGGCUCCCGUCUAAGUUCCUUGGAACAGGACGUCGUAGAGGGUGAGAAUCCCGUAUGCGAUGGGUUGCCCGAGCCAUGUGAAGCUCCUUCGACGAGUCGAGUUGUUUGGGAAUGCAGCUCUAAAUGGGAGGUAAAUUUCUUCUAAAGCUAAAUACCGGCCAGAGACCGAUAGCGCACAAGUAGAGUGAUCGAAAGAUGAAAAGCACUUUGGAAAGAGAGUUAAAAAGUACGUGAAAUUGUUGAAAGGGAAGCGCUUGCAGCCAGACUCGUCCGCAGUUGCUCAGCCGGUCUCCUGACCGGUGUACUCUUCUGCGGCCGGGCCAGCAUCAGUUCGGGCGGUCGGAUAAAGGUCCCGGGAAUGUAGCUCCUCUCGGGGAGUGUUAUAGCCCUGGGCGGAAUGCGGCCAGCCCGGACUGAGGAUCUCGCUUCGGCUAGGAUGCUGGCGUAAUGGCUGUAAGCGGCCCGUCUUGAAACACGGACC